ACUUGCAGGCGCGUCUCCUCCCAUUGCGCGCGGCAAGUGUUCCCCUCUGGAGGUUUUGCCCGAUGGGCACCUUCACAACUUGAAGCCGGGCUUUCUUGAAGUCCGGCUCUUUU
This is a non-coding RNA of Paramesorhizobium deserti, 113 nucleotides long. The record is from Rfam. NCBI's taxonomy places the organism in Bacteria, Pseudomonadati, Pseudomonadota, Alphaproteobacteria, Hyphomicrobiales, Phyllobacteriaceae.